UCUUGUAUGAAAUAUUGCACAGACGAUUGGCCUUUACCAACACACGUUCGAUAAUCAUUGGAAAACUUAAGACAGACCUCACCUUAUCUUCAGCAUGCCUGGAGCUGAUUUCCCAGUGUUUGGUCCGCCAUCCAGAGAAGCGGCUACAGUUACAUCAGGUUGAAGAGCACCAGUGGUUCAAUCCAACGAGCCCAAAUCCUGCGCAGCAGCUAGACAAGAGGAGAAAACACUAGAGAAGCGAGGAGGAGAAGAGCAGCAUUUCCAGACAUUCCACAAAACUGUUAAACUUAUUAAUUAUUCCCUCAUGUCAUUCCAAACCCCUAAGACCUUCCUUUUCUUCACUGUCAGUCGUGGAGUGUAUUGAUGAGAGCUCUGUCCUGCACUGUAUGUGUGUCGCACUGCUGACGUUUACCUCAGAUGUGCCCACGCUUUGUUUAAAUGAGAGGAAGUCGCGCAGGUCUCUGGGUUAUACGUCAGCAGCGUGAGCAAAUGCAACACAUAUACAGUGCAGUACAGCACUUCUCAAGUCAUUAUUUUUGUUUUAUA
Non-coding RNA from Danio rerio (zebrafish), 546 nucleotides. NCBI's taxonomy places the organism in Eukaryota, Metazoa, Chordata, Actinopteri, Cypriniformes, Danionidae. The record is from RefSeq and is a predicted model, not a curated record.